This 253-nucleotide ribosomal RNA is filed under the name uncultured bacterium. Its description in RNAcentral is "partial 16S ribosomal RNA". It matches the Rfam family "Bacterial small subunit ribosomal RNA", at positions 524 to 776 of the family's 1533-position model. The record is from RNAcentral.
GACGUAGGGGGCGAGCGUUGCCCGGAUUCACUGGGCGUAAAGCGCGUGUAGGCGGUCUGUUAAGUCGGAUGUGAAAGCUCCGGGCUCAACCCGGAAAUUGCAUCCGAUACUGGCAGACUUGAGGACGGUAGAGGUCGGUGGAAUACCAGGUGUACCGGUGAAAUGGGCAGAUAUCUGGUGGAACACCAGUGGCGAAGGCGGCCGACUGGGCCGCUCCUGACGCUGAGACGCGAAAGCCAGGGUAGCGAACCGG